GACGAACGCUGGCGGCGUGCUUAACACAUGCAAGUCGAACGGUGAAGGGACUGGUUUUGCUGGUCCUGGAUGAGUGGCGAACGGGUGAGUAACACGUGAGUAACCUGCCCCCUUCUUCUGGAUAACCGCAUGAAAGUGUGGCUAAUGCGGGAUAUUCUGGGUCUGUCGCAUGGUGGGCCUGGGAAAGAUUGCGCCUUUUUUGGUGUUUUUGGUGGGGGAUGGGCUCGCGGCCUAUCAGCUUGUUGGUGGGGUGAUGGCCUACCAAGGCGGUGACGGGUAGCCGGCCUGAGAGGGUGGACGGUCACACUGGGACUGAGACACGGCCCAGACUCCUACGGGAGGCAGCAGUGGGGAAUAUUGCACAAUGGGCGCAAGCCUGAUGCAGCGACGCCGCGUGAGGGAUGGAGGCCUUCGGGUUGUGAACCUCUUUCGCCAGUGAAGCAGGCCUGCCUCUUUUUGUGGGUGGGUUGACGGUAGCUGGAGAAGAAGCGCCGGCUAACUACGUG
RNAcentral lists this ribosomal RNA (506 nucleotides) under uncultured bacterium. RNAcentral's name for it is "partial 16S ribosomal RNA". It matches the Rfam family "Bacterial small subunit ribosomal RNA", at positions 28 to 507 of the family's 1533-position model. The record is from RNAcentral.